GAGGUGGGCCGGGCGGCCGCGUCCCCUCACCCGCGAGGGGGAGGGGCCGAGGAAGGUCCGGGCUCCACAGGGCGCGGUGGUGGGUAACGCCCACCCGGGGUGACCCGCGGGACAGUGCCACAGAGAACAGACCGCCACCGCAGCUGCGGUGGUGAGGGUGAAACGGUGGUGUAAGAGACCACCAGCACCCCGGGUGACCGGGGUGGCUAGGCAAACCCCACCGGGAGCAAGGUCAAGAAGCCGUCCGCAGCGAUGCGGGCGGCGCGCGGAUGAUCGAGGGCGGCCCGCCCGAGUCCGCGGGUAGACCGCAGGAGACCGCCGGCGACGGCGGUCCGGAGAUGGAUGGUCGCCGAACCGGGAGCCGCGAGGCCCCGGGGAACAGAACCCGGCCUACAGGCCCACCUCUCUG
This 409-nucleotide RNase P RNA is filed under the name Nocardioidaceae bacterium. RNAcentral's name for it is "RNase P RNA component class A". It matches the Rfam family "Bacterial RNase P class A". From Rfam's summary of the family: Ribonuclease P (RNase P) is a ubiquitous endoribonuclease, found in archaea, bacteria and eukarya as well as chloroplasts and mitochondria. Its best characterised activity is the generation of mature 5'-ends of tRNAs by cleaving the 5'-leader elements of precursor-tRNAs. Cellular RNase Ps are ribonucleoproteins. The record is from RNAcentral. Lineage: Bacteria; Bacillati; Actinomycetota; Actinomycetes; Propionibacteriales; Nocardioidaceae.